CCCCAAAAAACAAUCAAAUACAUAGGAUACAGAAAAGAAAAACAAGGGGGGAGGGGAACAGACCAUAACAUUUUUGCCAAUUGCAUAUAAAUUUAUAAACAAUAACAUCACAUGCAGUAUCAUUUAUUUCUCUUACGUAUACUGCAAACCACUAUCUUGCCUGACAUUAGUGCAUUAACCCUUUAGUGUGUAAUUUCACUUUGUUCAUAAUAUACUUUCACCUUGCUCAAUGUCUGAAUUGUAGAUAUGGCGAGUACUGUCUACAUGCUGCUCAAACACUUUAUUUCUUGCACUGAUGAGUCUUUUGAAUUGAAAAAAGCCCUGUUGCUUUGUAGUUCCUGGUCCAAAUAAAUUGCCUUAAGAAUUGGAAACUGUUGGAGUGCCUUGAUCAUUUUCUGAGUCUUUUGAAUUAGUCCUUUUGUACUAACCUACCAUAUUGUAAUCAAUUGCAUAGAAGAACCACCACAGUUUGUAAUGUAUGUGCUUCUCAGGGCUCCAUGCUCAGUAACCUGGGCCUCCCAGCCCUAACUCAGUUUGCCCUGGACUUGCCAUGGACUGUUAUUAUGGUCCAGGAGUGCAAGCUUUUACUGACCCUCCACUAUCCCCACACAAAUACUAAGUGUUUACUCAGUUUGCAAGAAAGUAUGUUAAUCUAGGAUGCUCAAAUAUUAGAAAGCUCCCAAUGUCACUAAUAAGUUCCAUCCAGUUGAACACUUUACUUUUUAAAUGUACUAAUGGUUCAUCUGAGAGUUCUAUUUCUCAGCAUAGUAUGCACUGCCCACUGGCAGAGUUAUCUGGAGCCACAUAAAUGGUCACUAUUCCAAAUCAAACAGCACCAUGAGUUGUUAGACCUUUGCUCUGCUCUUCUCAUUACAGGUUAGUGGAAUUUAGGAUACAUGUCUCUGUAGUUGUUCAUCUGUCUCUUCUACAUGGCAGGGCUUUUUGCAGAACUGGUAAGCACAAAGGAUUCUUACCUCUU
Non-coding RNA from Pelobates cultripes (western spadefoot toad), 979 nucleotides. Lineage: Eukaryota; Metazoa; Chordata; Amphibia; Anura; Pelobatidae. The record is from the annotation of a GenBank genome assembly.